GGCAGCAUGAACUUAGCUUGCUAAGUUUGAUGGCGACCGGCGCACGGGUGAGUAACACGUAUCCAACCUGCCGAUGACUCGGGGAUAGCCUUUCGAAAGAAAGAUUAAUACCCGAUGGCAUAAUUCUUCCGCAUGGUAGAAUUAUUAAAGAAUUUCGGUCAUCGAUGGGGAUGCGUUCCAUUAGGUUGUUGGCGGGGUAACGGCCCACCAAGCCUUCGAUGGAUAGGGGUUCUGAGAGGAAGGUCCCCCACAUUGGAACUGAGACACGGUCCAAACUCCUACGGGAGGCAGCAGUGAGGAAUAUUGGUCAAUGGACGAGAGUCUGAACCAGCCAAGUAGCGUGAAGGAUGACUGCCCUAUGGGUUGUAAACUUCUUUUAUACGGGAAUAAAGUGAGGCACGUGUGCCUUUUUGUAUGUACCGUAUGAAUAAGGAUCGGCUAACUCCGUGCCAGC
This 454-nucleotide ribosomal RNA is filed under the name uncultured bacterium. RNAcentral describes it as "bacterial SSU rRNA". It matches the Rfam family "Bacterial small subunit ribosomal RNA", at positions 68 to 512 of the family's 1533-position model. The record is from RNAcentral.